UUAACAGGAUUAGAUACCCUGGUAGUCCACACUGUAAACUUUGGACACUAGGUGUUGGGGGUAUCGACCCCCCCAGUGCCGCAGCUAACGCAUUAAGUGUCCCGCCUGGGGAGUACGGUCGCAAGGCCGAAACUCAAAGGAAUUGACGGGGGCCCGCACAAGCGGUGGAGCAUGUGGUUUAAUUCGACGCAACGCGAAGAACCUUACCUGGGUUGGAACGGUGGUGGAAAGCCUCUGGAAACAGUGGCCCUCUUCGGACUGCCUCCGAGGUGCUGCAUGGCUGUCGUCAGCUCGUGUCGUGAGAUGUUGGGUUAAGUCCCGCAACGAGCGCAACCCUUGCCCUCAGUUACCAGCGGAUCAUGCCGGGGACUCUGGGGGGACUGCUGCGGCAACGCAGAGGAAGGUGGGGAUGACUA
Molecule: ribosomal RNA, 416 nt
Filed under: uncultured bacterium
Lineage: Bacteria
Description: bacterial SSU rRNA
Rfam family: Bacterial small subunit ribosomal RNA
Source: RNAcentral